RNAcentral lists this unclassified non-coding RNA (254 nucleotides) under uncultured Chitinophagales bacterium. RNAcentral describes it as "contains 16S-23S intergenic spacer region". It matches the Rfam family "Bacterial small subunit ribosomal RNA", at positions 524 to 776 of the family's 1533-position model. The record is from RNAcentral. Lineage: Bacteria; Pseudomonadati; Bacteroidota; Chitinophagia; Chitinophagales.
UACGGAGGGUGCAAGCGUUAUCCGGAAUCACUGGGUUUAAAGGGUGCGUAGGCGGUCCGAUAAGUCAGCCGUGAAAUCGCUGGGCUCAACCCAUGCAAUUGCGGUUGAUACUGUCGGACUUGAAUGGGGUUGAGGCUGGCGGAAUGCGGCAUGUAGCGGUGAAAUGCUUAGAUAUGCCGCAGAACACCGAUUGCGAAGGCAGCCAGCUGGGCCUUGAUUGACGCUGAGGCACGAAAGCGUGGGGAGCAAACAGG